CGCUAUCACUCCUACGGGAGGCAGCAGUGGGGAAUAUUGCACAAUGGGGGAAACCCUGAUGCAGCCAUGCCGCGUGUGUGAAGAAGGCCUUCGGGUUGUUAAAGCACUUUCAGUAGGGAGGAAGGUAGUGUAGUUAACACCUGCAUUAUUUGACGUUACCUACAGAAGAAGCACCGGCUAACUCCGUGCCAGCAGCCGCGGUAAUACGGAGGGUGCGAGCGUUAAUCGGAAUUACUGGGCGUAAAGCGCAUGCAGGCGGCCUGUUAAGUCAGAUGUGAAAGCCCGGGGCUUAACCUCGGAAUUGCAUUUGAAACUGGCAGGCUAGAGUCUUGUAGAGGGGGUAGAAUUUCAGGUGUAGCGGUGAAAAUGCGUAGAGAUCUGAAGGAAUACCAGUGGCGAAGGCGGCCCCCUGGACAAAGACUGACGCUCAGAUGCGAAAAGCGUGGGGAGCAAACAGGAUUAGAUACCCUGGUAG
RNAcentral lists this ribosomal RNA (475 nucleotides) under uncultured bacterium. Its description in RNAcentral is "bacterial SSU rRNA". It matches the Rfam family "Bacterial small subunit ribosomal RNA", at positions 328 to 793 of the family's 1533-position model. The record is from RNAcentral.